Molecule: unclassified non-coding RNA, 222 nt
Filed under: uncultured fungus
Lineage: Eukaryota; Fungi
Description: sequence contains ITS1, 5.8S rRNA gene
Source: RNAcentral
UCUCCGUAGGUGAGUAGCAUCCGAACCCCCUCCGCCUUUGCGGGCCGUACUAACGUAGUCACAGGUGAACCUGCGGAGGGAUCAUUACCGAGCGCCGCGGCUCCGGCCGCGCCUCUCCACCCUUGCUUACCCCCCGCUGCUGCCUCGGCGGCGCCCCAGGGCCCGCCGGAAGAGGCUUCAAAACCUGUCGAACCCGCCGUCAGAGGGCAAAGCCAACAAGCA